RNAcentral lists this ribosomal RNA (253 nucleotides) under uncultured bacterium. RNAcentral describes it as "partial 16S ribosomal RNA". It matches the Rfam family "Bacterial small subunit ribosomal RNA", at positions 524 to 776 of the family's 1533-position model. The record is from RNAcentral.
UACGUAGGGUGCAAGCGUUGUCCGGAAUUAUUGGGCGUAAAGAGCUCGUAGGCGGUUUGUCGCGUCGAAUGUGAAAACCCGGGGCUUAACUCCGGGUCUGCAUUCGAUACGGGCAGACUAGAGUGUGGUAGGGGAGAUCGGAAUUCCUGGUGUAGCGGUGAAAUGCGCAGAUAUCAGGAGGAACACCGGUGGCGAAGGCGGAUCUCUGGGCCAUUACUGACGCUGAGGAGCGAAAGCGUGGGGAGCGAACAGG